AUCUUCAGGGAAGGGUUAAAGUCCCAACCGGCGGUAAAGUCCGCGAGCGAAAGCUGAAUUGGUUAGAUUCCAAUACCGACAGUAAAGUCUGGAUGAAAGAAUG
RNAcentral lists this non-coding RNA (103 nucleotides) under Peptoniphilus lacydonensis. Its description in RNAcentral is "FMN riboswitch aptamer (RFN element)". It matches the Rfam family "FMN riboswitch aptamer (RFN element)", at positions 8 to 131 of the family's 138-position model. From Rfam's summary of the family: The RFN element is a highly conserved domain that is found frequently in the 5'-untranslated regions of prokaryotic mRNAs that encode for flavin mononucleotide (FMN) biosynthesis and transport proteins. This element is a metabolite-dependent riboswitch that directly binds FMN in the absence of proteins. In Bacillus subtilis, the riboswitch most likely controls gene expression by causing premature transcription termination within the 5' untranslated region of the ribDEAHT operon and precluding access to the ribosome-binding site of ypaA mRNA. The record is from RNAcentral. Lineage: Bacteria; Bacillati; Bacillota; Tissierellia; Tissierellales; Peptoniphilaceae.